Long non-coding RNA from Microtus oregoni (creeping vole), 489 nucleotides. RefSeq lists it as uncharacterized. The transcript is spliced from 4 exons. The record is from RefSeq and is a predicted model, not a curated record. NCBI's taxonomy places the organism in Eukaryota, Metazoa, Chordata, Mammalia, Rodentia, Cricetidae.
CGCUGCUUGGGCUCUGGGGCUGGCCGGGAGAGCCGCGGCCGGCUGGCGUUCGGGCCGAAGCCAGCGCCCUGAGAACUCCGGGUCCUUAAAGGCGGGUGUACCCGGAGAGGAGACAGACGUCCGACCGCUGCGAAGCUGGUGCUGGUGGUCGCGUUCAUAUCCCAAGGAUGGAAUAAUCCGAGGAAAUCUUCCUACUGUUAUAAGAUUAGGCUAGAGUUGUGAAAAGCCCUCCAGAGAAUGUGUGGUUAAGCCUUUUCUUUUCCAAGCUGUAUUCUUGCUGCCUACGCAGAUAGGGUGCCACAAUGCCUCCCACUCAAGCAGAAAGUGUUAUAAAGAAUAUUAUACGAGAAAUAGGACAAGAAUGUGCAGCCCACGGAGAGAUUGCAUCUGAAACAGUGGUUGCUUUCAUGGAAGUGUGAGCUGCCCCAAACCUGUAUGUGGCGAUUUUAUUGACUCGCAGAAAUGGCAGGGGAAUGUUUCACUAAUCCC